Molecule: unclassified non-coding RNA, 370 nt
Filed under: fungal sp.
Lineage: Eukaryota; Fungi
Description: partial internal transcribed spacer region
Rfam family: Eukaryotic small subunit ribosomal RNA (bases 1-46)
Source: RNAcentral
AAGUCGUAACAAGGUUUCCGUAGGUGAACCUGCGGAAGGAUCAUUAACACGUAUCCAACGUUAAAACAACCCUGUGAACCUUCAAUCUUGCUCGCGUGGCUCCAUGAAAGCAGCAAUCCCUGGUAAAUCAUUCGACCAGAUUUUUGAGUCAGGGACCUCUGCCGAUGAGAGUUACGCUCGUAGCGAUGCAAGCGACCUCCCAAGCAAGCGUCUUUGAUUGUGUAAGGGUGGCGCAAACACGAUCGUUGGAGGCCGGCACGGCCGCCCGGGACCAUGCCCUUAAUCACCACACUGUAACGCCGACAGGUCGCAAUAAUUCCGCUGACCACAAAAAACCGAACAACUGUUAACAAUGGAUAUCUUGGUUCUC